RNAcentral lists this transfer RNA (77 nucleotides) under Sphingomonas sp. RNAcentral's name for it is "tRNA-Arg". It matches the Rfam family "tRNA". Rfam says of the family: Transfer RNA (tRNA) molecules are approximately 80 nucleotides in length. Their secondary structure includes four short double-helical elements and three loops (D, anti-codon, and T loops). Lineage: Bacteria; Pseudomonadati; Pseudomonadota; Alphaproteobacteria; Sphingomonadales; Sphingomonadaceae. RNAcentral also lists the same sequence under 14 other names. The record is from RNAcentral.
GGCCCCGUAGCUCAGCCGGAUAGAGCACCAGAUUCCUAAUCUGGGGGCCAGUGGUUCAAAUCCACUCGGGGUCACCA